Dipodomys ordii (Ord's kangaroo rat) is the source of this 106-nucleotide small nuclear RNA. The record is from Ensembl. NCBI's taxonomy places the organism in Eukaryota, Metazoa, Chordata, Mammalia, Rodentia, Heteromyidae.
GUGCUGGCUUAGACAGCACAUAUGGUAAAAUGGGAACAAUACAGAGAAAAUUAGCAUGACCCCUUGCAGGGGUGACAGUCAUAUUUGUGAAGUGUUCCAUAUUUUU